CCUCCUACGGGACGCAGCAGACGGCGAUGCAAGCCAGGAGUGAAAGCCCGGGGCCCAACCCCGGGACUGCUCUUGGAACUGCGUGGCUAGAGUGCAGGAGGGGCAGGCGGAAUUCCUGGUGUAGCGGUGAAAUGCGUAGAUAUCAGGAGGAACACCGGUGGCGAAGGCGGCCUGCUGGACUGCAACUGACGUUGAGGCCCGAAAGCGUGGGGAGCAAACAGGAUUAGAAACCCGGGUAGUCCUUCA
RNAcentral lists this ribosomal RNA (246 nucleotides) under uncultured bacterium. RNAcentral's name for it is "partial 16S ribosomal RNA". It matches the Rfam family "Bacterial small subunit ribosomal RNA", at positions 567 to 801 of the family's 1533-position model. The record is from RNAcentral.